GGGUCAGUAGGUUGGUCGUGCCACCGGUACGUACUGGUCUCACUGAUUCCUCCUUCCCGAAGAACCGUAAUGCCAUUAAUAUGGUGUUGCGGGGAAACAGGACUGUUACUUUGAAAAAAUUAGAGUGUUUAAAGCAAGCUAACGCUUGAAUACAUUAGCAUGGAAUAAUGAAAUAGGACGAUCGAUCCUAUUUUGUUGGUUUCUAGGAUUGACGUA
This 216-nucleotide ribosomal RNA is filed under the name Glomeromycotina sp. RNAcentral's name for it is "partial small subunit ribosomal RNA". The stretch from base 87 to 216 matches the Rfam family "Eukaryotic small subunit ribosomal RNA", at positions 733 to 864 of the family's 1831-position model. The record is from RNAcentral. Lineage: Eukaryota; Fungi; Glomeromycota.